UACAAGGGGUGCAAGCGUUGUUCGGAUUUACUGGGCGUAAAGAGCGUGUAGGCUGUUCAUCAAGUCAAUUGUGAAAUCCCUUGGCUCAACCAAGGAAGUGCAAAUGAUACUGAUGAUCUAGAGUGUCGGAGGGGAUGAUGGAAUUUCCGGUGUAGAGGUGAAAUUCGUAGAUAUCGGAAGGAACACCAGUGGCGAAGGCGGUCAUCUGGAAGACUACUGACGCUGAGACGCGAAAGCAUGGGGAGCAAACAGG
RNAcentral lists this ribosomal RNA (253 nucleotides) under uncultured bacterium. RNAcentral's name for it is "partial 16S ribosomal RNA". It matches the Rfam family "Bacterial small subunit ribosomal RNA", at positions 524 to 776 of the family's 1533-position model. The record is from RNAcentral.